AUCUAAAUAGCUUAUAAAGAGCAUUACAUUGAAGCUGUAAAGGAGGUAUCGUUAUAUCUUUAGAUG
This 66-nucleotide transfer RNA is filed under the name Palaemon longirostris. Its description in RNAcentral is "tRNA-Phe". Lineage: Eukaryota; Metazoa; Arthropoda; Malacostraca; Decapoda; Palaemonidae. The record is from RNAcentral.